GGCGGUUCUCAGAUGACGCACCCCAGAAUCAGGCUCCUGCCUCUCUGGCUCUGGGUGUGUCACACAAGAACCACA
Molecule: non-coding RNA, 75 nt
Organism: Myotis lucifugus (little brown bat)
Lineage: Eukaryota; Metazoa; Chordata; Mammalia; Chiroptera; Vespertilionidae
Source: Rfam